UGGAGUUACUGCAUCAAGACUUUGAAGUCCUCAUGAUUAAUUUAUUUUCAUUUUAUUACAUAGGUUAAUUUUGUCUCAAUGCUUCUGUGACAUAUCCAGAGAGGGAAGAAUGUGCAAGUAUUGCCUUGCUCGAACGCGCAUGCAUACCAAACUUGGUUGGUAUAAGAUUCCUGAAUAAGACCCUCUGGCUGAUCUAAAGAAACCUCACCCUGAAUAAAGGUCUUUCCUGCCUGAACAAGAGAGCAGCCUUAGAAGAAUGAGGAUGAUCACUGCUUACUCCCUGAGAGUACCUCCAGACGUCUCAACCAUAAUUAUGCCAGUCUGGGAGAAUUACAGCGUUUCAGCACAGUGGAUCCAGGGAGAAGGCGUGCCAGGCAGGCAACAGGAAAUACAAGACAGCCGUGUUUACAAGGACAGCACGUGAUGCAGCAGCAACAUACACCAGAGGGACUGGUGCCACAAGAGAGAAAAAUUAAUUAAACACCUCUUUAGCAAUCUACAGCAAACCCAGAUAGGUAGUUCUUUUGAUGAGGAUAGAUACUUUUAUUUUCAUUUUUUUUUCCUUCACCACUGAAUUUUAUAUUGCUUCAGACUUGCUCUUGCCUGUCUGUAUGUCAAGCUUGGCUUUGAAAUGUAAUACAUCUCCAGGGGUGUGAACGUUCUCAAGAACAGGCAGUGAGCUUGUUGUGUCUCUGCACUUGAAUGACAGAUACCUGCAAAUGGAAAACAAACAAGUGGAGCUGGUGCUGAUAGGUAUACCUUCAGUAUGUGCAAUGUACUGACAUAAAUCUCCUUGUCUGGCACAGCGGGCACUAUAUGUGUCAGUAAUGUGCUAUGUGGCAAUGGCAUCCUGUUGGUUUUAUAUUAAUGGCAAACUGACAAACUGAUCAUCCGAAUCUCCUUGUUCCUGUUUCCAGGCUUGUUCUUGUUUCCUCCUACGCCUGGAUUUAGUCACCAUGGCGGCAAAACAAAUACAUGCAUCAAAUGUAGCAUUUCAAUCACAAAACCUGCAUUUUCUACCCACAUUAAAGGAUAUCAUGGUUUCAGA
This is a long non-coding RNA of Thunnus maccoyii (southern bluefin tuna), 1048 nucleotides long. RefSeq lists it as uncharacterized. The record is from RefSeq and is a predicted model, not a curated record. The transcript is spliced from 3 exons. NCBI's taxonomy places the organism in Eukaryota, Metazoa, Chordata, Actinopteri, Scombriformes, Scombridae.